This 253-nucleotide ribosomal RNA is filed under the name uncultured bacterium. RNAcentral describes it as "partial 16S ribosomal RNA". It matches the Rfam family "Bacterial small subunit ribosomal RNA", at positions 524 to 776 of the family's 1533-position model. The record is from RNAcentral.
UACGGGGGGGGCAAGCGUUGUUCGGAAUUAUUGGGCGUAAAGGGCGCGUAGGCGGCCUGCUAAGUCGAACGUGAAAUCCCCGAGCUCAACUCGGGAACUGCGUCCGAUACUGGCAGGCUUGAAUCCGGGAGAGGGAUGCGGAAUUCCAGGUGUAGCGGUGAAAUGCGUAGAUAUCUGGAGGAACACCGGUGGCGAAGGCGGCAUCCUGGACCGGCAUUGACGCUGAGGCGCGAAAGCCAGGGGAGCAAACGGG